UGACCUCAAAUCAGGUAGGACUACCCGCUGAACUUAAGCAUAUCAAUAAGCGGAGGAAAAGAAACUAACAAGGAUUCCCCUAGUAACUGCGAGUGAAGCGGGAAAAGCUCAAAUUUAAAAUCUGGCAGUCUCUGACUGUCCGAGUUGUAAUCUAGAGAAGUGUUAUCCGCGCUGGACCGUGUACAAGUCUCCUGGAAUGGAGCGUCAUAGAGGGUGAGAAUCCCGUCUUUGACACGGACUGCCAGGGCUUUGUGAUAUGCUCUCAAAGAGUCGAGUUGUUUGGGAAUGCAGCUCAAAAUGGGUGGUAAAUUCCAUCUAAAGCUAAAUAUUGGCGAGAGACCGAUAGCGAACAAGUACCGUGAGGGAAAGAUGAAAAGAACUUUGGAAAGAGAGUUAAACAGUACGUGAAAUUGCUGAAAGGGAAACGCUUGAAGUCAGUCACGUUGGCCAGGGAUCAACCUUGCUUUUGCUUGGUGUACUUUCUGGUUGAUGGGUCAGCAUCAAUUUUGACCAUUGGAAAAAGGUCAAGGGAAUGUGGCAUCUUCGGAUGUGUUAUAGCCCUUGGUUGCAUACAAUGGUUGGGAUUGAGGAACUCAGCAUGCCGCAAGGCCGGGUUUUUAACCACGUACGUGCUUAGGAUGC
RNAcentral lists this ribosomal RNA (642 nucleotides) under Cortinarius allutus. RNAcentral describes it as "eukaryotic LSU rRNA". It matches the Rfam family "Eukaryotic large subunit ribosomal RNA", at positions 1 to 626 of the family's 3401-position model. Lineage: Eukaryota; Fungi; Basidiomycota; Agaricomycetes; Agaricales; Cortinariaceae. The record is from RNAcentral.